UCGAGUCACAGCAUUCCAGCCUGGGCUACAAAGCAAGACUGCGUGUCAGAAAAAGAAAAGAAAAAUGGAUUCAAAGAUUUAUCACUGUUAAGUUCCACCAGCAAAUUAUUAAAUGUGGUUCCAAAGGGAUAUUUAAAAAGGGAAAUUAAAAUUGUUUCCAAGAAAGCCCUAUUCACAGCAGAAACGUAGACACUGUACCUGACCUCACCACACAAAGUUCCCUCAUGUGUUGGGAGGGACCAAGGGGCUCUCUGGUCCUGCACCUGCGUUAAUUAUGGCCGGGAGGUCCGCAGUAGGACCCUAAGGGCUAGGAACCAGCCUGGGUCAGGGGCAGAGAAGUGGUGGAUGUGGCUCCCAAAGUGGCUUAGGGGUUCCCUUCCCUGUGGCUGUUUCCUGACUGGAUGCAGCAGGGUCAGGCCUUUCAGUGUGACGUUUUCUACUCUUUAUUAGAGUGGCAGGAGCGUCCCUGUGCGAGGCCUGACCCAGGUGUGGGCCUUGCAGCCAGCUCGGGGUCCAAGGGGCACUCCUGCGGUGCUGCAAAGGAGGAUUUGUGACAACCCAGAGGAUGGAGGAAACGGCGGCUUUGAAAAGGCAAGUGCCAAGUUAUCAGGGAUCGCUUAUAUCCAUUUCUGGCAGUGAACUGACAAUUUCAGACACUCAGGAGGGAGCUUCCCGCGUGGGAUCACAAAAAGUCCGAGAAGUGUCAGACAUCUGGCCAUUAACCCCAUUCCUACGCAGGGACUACACUGCCGCUUGUCCGAAGGGGCGUGUCAGGGGCGGAGCGAGGAUGAGGGGCGGUGCCAAUAAAAGAGGCGGGGGAGAAGGGGCGGUGCUGAGGGGAGAGGCCGGGCCAAGGGAAGAAGCGUGCGAGAAAGGGUGGGGCGAGUCCAGCUACAGGAAGAGUAGCGUUACUAUGGCAACCCUGACAGGUUUGUGAGCAGCCCCCGGUCCCCUGCCGCUCCGUGAGAAAUCAAACUUCAGGCACUGACGAAGCAUGAAGCCAGCAUCUUAGGAAGAGGUAGUGACAUAAUUACAAGGGCGACCGGAUUACAAUCACAGCCAGCAUGAACAUGGGGCGGCGCACAGUCCUGAAGAGGAAAGCCGGGCUGUGUUGACCUCGCUGUGCAUGCUGGGAGUUGUAGUCUCUUCACUGCUCCCGCCCGUUGUUUCAGGCACUUCGGGACUACAAUCCCAGCAUGACCCGGGCUCGGGGACGGGGCGCAGUUCUCGUGGGAGGAGCGGGGCGGUGAGAGCCUGGCUAGGCAGGCUGGAAACAGUAGCUCUUAACGGUCCCCCGCCCGUUGGUGGCAAGGCGGCUGGACUGGAAUCCCAGCAGGCGACAUGCGAGGAGGCGGGCAGCCCAGGAGGGUUGGACACGGCAAUGUGGACCUCGCCGCUUCCACAACGAUGCUGGCUACUGAUCGCGUGCACUUCCUUGCCAAAGAAAAUUUGUGCUGUGCACUAACAUGCAAUACAAAUACUGAUGAAAAUAAAACUAUUGCCCUCCUACCAAAUGAGAAAUUAAUGUUAUGACUGGAUGAAGACAAUUGUGAAGAAACUGCACUUUGAGGUUGUCUAUCUCUGUAUUCUGAUGGAAAAGCGUGGAGUUUAGAAGCACUGCUCACUCCUUCAGUUUCUAACAAGUUUGAGACUAUGGUUAGGUGGUGAGGAAGGCAGGCUCAGCACCCAAGCCUUGGGGAGACGCAGAAAGGGCCCAUCCCAGGCACUCAGGUGGAGAAAUUCACUGGUAUAGGUUUCCCUCAAAACACUGCUUUCACCAGUUUCCGUAAGUUUUACGUUUUGGUUACAUUGUCAUUUAUGUUAAAACACUUUCUGAUAAGUAUUUGUGGUUUUCUUUUGAUCCAUAAAUUAUUUGGGAUUUUGCCAUUUAAUGUCCACAUACUUAAGAGUCUCCUAAAUUUCUUGCUUUCAUUGAUCUCUGAUUCUAUUAUGAUUAGAAAUCACCCAUUGUAUUAUCUCAAUCUCUAUUUUUACUGAUGUUUUAUGGCCCAGCAGGUGGUCUGUCCUAGAGAACGUUCCAUGUGGAUUUGAGAAGAAUAUAUAUUCUCAUGUUGGAUGCAGUGCUGUGCAUAUGUUUGUUAGGUUUAGUUGUUUUAUGUUGUUGUUCAUGUUUUCUAUUUUUUAUCUUCUGUCUACUUGUUCUAUCCAUUAAUAUAAGUGAAGCAUUAAAGUCUCCAACUAUUACUGUUGAAUUA
This 2216-nucleotide long non-coding RNA is filed under the name Homo sapiens (human). Its description in RNAcentral is "HSALNT0341134". The record is from RNAcentral. Lineage: Eukaryota; Metazoa; Chordata; Mammalia; Primates; Hominidae.